AGGCGAAAAGAACCCCGGCGAGGGGAGUGAAAAAGAACCUGAAACCGUGUACGUACAAGCAGUGGGAGCCUCUUUAUGGGGUGACUGCGUACCUUUUGUAUAAUGGGUCAGCGACUUAUAUUCUGUAGCAAGGUUAACCGAAUAGGGGAGCCGAAGGGAAACCGAGUCUUAACUGGGCGUUAAGUUGCAGGGUAUAGACCCGAAACCCGGUGAUCUAGCCAUGGGCAGGUUGAAGGUUGGGUAACACUAACUGGAGGACCGAACCGACUAAUGUUGAAAAAUUAGCGGAUGACUUGUGGCUGGGGGUGAAAGGCCAAUCAAACCGGGAGAUAGCUGGUUCUCCCCGAAAGCUAUUUAGGUAGCGCCUCGUGAAUUCAUCUCCGGGGGUAGAGCACUGUUUCGGCAAGGGGGUCAUCCCGACUUACCAACCCGAUGCAAACUGCGAAUACCGGAGAAUGUUAUCACGGGAGACACACGGCGGGUGCUAACGUCCGUCGUGAAGAGGGAAACAACCCAGACCGCCAGCUAAGGUCCCAAAGUCAUGGUUAAGUGGGAAACGAUGUGGGAAGGCCCAGACAGCCAGGAUGUUGGCUUAGAAGCAGCCAUCAUUUAAAGAAAGCGUAAUAGCUCACUGGUCGAGUCGGCCUGCGCGGAAGAUGUAACGGGGCUAAACCAUGCACCGAAGCUGCGGCAGCGACACUAAGUGUUGUUGGGUAGGGGAGCGUUCUGUAAGCCUGUGAAGGUGUACUGUGAGGUAUGCUGGAGGUAUCAGAAGUGCGAAUGCUGACAUAAGUAACGAUAAAGCGGGUGAAAAGCCCGCUCGCCGGAAGACCAAGGGUUCCUGUCCAACGUUAAUCGGGGCAGGGUGAGUCGACCCCUAAGGCGAGGCCGAAAGGCGUAGUCGAUGGGAAACAGGUUAAUAUUCCUGUACUUGGUGUUACUGCGAAGGGGGGACGGAGAAGGCUAUGUUGGCCGGGCGACGGUUGUCCCGGUUUAAGCGUGUAGGCUGGUUUUCCAGGCAAAUCCGGAAAAUCAAGGCUGAGGCGUGAUGACGAGGCACUACGGUGCUGAAGCAACAAAUGCCCUGCUUCCAGGAAAAGCCUCUAAGCAUCAGGUAACAUCAAAUCGUACCCCAAACCGACACAGGUGGUCAGGUAGAGAAUACCAAGGCGCUUGAGAGAACUCGGGUGAAGGAACUAGGCAAAAUGGUGCCGUAACUUCGGGAGAAGGCACGCUGAUAUGUAGGUGAAGCGACUUGCUCGUGGAGCUGAAAUCAGUCGAAGAUACCAGCUGGCUGCAACUGUUUAUUAAAAACACAGCACUGUGCAAACACGAAAGUGGACGUAUACGGUGUGACGCCUGCCCGGUGCCGGAAGGUUAAUUGAUGGGGUUAGCGCAAGCGAAGCUCUUGAUCGAAGCCCCGGUAAACGGCGGCCGUAACUAUAACGGUCCUAAGGUAGCGAAAUUCCUUGUCGGGUAAGUUCCGACCUGCACGAAUGGCGUAAUGAUGGCCAGGCUGUCUCCACCCGAGACUCAGUGAAAUUGAACUCGCUGUGAAGAUGCAGUGUACCCGCGGCAAGACGGAAAGACCCCGUGAACCUUUACUAUAGCUUGACACUGAACAUUGAGCCUUGAUGUGUAGGAUAGGUGGGAGGCUUUGAAGUGUGGACGCCAGUCUGCAUGGAGCCGACCUUGAAAUACCACCCUUUAAUGUUUGAUGUUCUAACGUUGGCCCCUGAUCGGGGUUGCGGACAGUGUCUGGUGGGUAGUUUGACUGGGGCGGUCUCCUCCUAAAGAGUAACGGAGGAGCACGAAGGUUGGCUAAUCCUGGUCGGACAUCAGGAGGUUAGUGCAAUGGCAUAAGCCAGCUUGACUGCGAGCGUGACGGCGCGAGCAGGUGCGAAAGCAGGUCAUAGUGAUCCGGUGGUUCUGAAUGGAAGGGCCAUCGCUCAACGGAUAAAAGGUACUCCGGGGAUAACAGGCUGAUACCGCCCAAGAGUUCAUAUCGACGGCGGUGUUUGGCACCUCGAUGUCGGCUCAUCACAUCCUGGGGCUGAAGUAGGUCCCAAGGGUAUGGCUGUUCGCCAUUUAAAGUGGUACGCGAGCUGGGUUUAGAACGUCGUGAGACAGUUCGGUCCCUAUCUGCCGUGGGCGCUGGAGAACUGAGGGGGGCUGCUCCUAGUACGAGAGGACCGGAGUGGACGCAUCACUGGUGUUCGGGUUGUCAUGCCAAUGGCACUGCCCGGUAGCUAAAUGCGGAAGAGAUAAGUGCUGAAAGCAUCUAAGCACGAAACUUGCCCCGAGAUGAGUUCUCCCUGACUCCUUGAGA
Molecule: ribosomal RNA, 2329 nt
Filed under: Escherichia coli
Lineage: Bacteria; Pseudomonadati; Pseudomonadota; Gammaproteobacteria; Enterobacterales; Enterobacteriaceae
Description: partial 23S ribosomal RNA
Rfam family: Bacterial large subunit ribosomal RNA
Source: RNAcentral